Molecule: ribosomal RNA, 373 nt
Filed under: uncultured bacterium
Lineage: Bacteria
Description: bacterial SSU rRNA
Rfam family: Bacterial small subunit ribosomal RNA
Source: RNAcentral
GUAGGGGCCUAGCGUUGUCCGGAUUUAUUGGGCGUAAAGAGCUCGUAGGCGGUUUGGUGAGUCGGGUGUGAAAUCUCCACGCUCAACGCGGAGGGGCCACCCGAUACUGCCAUGACUAGAGUCCGGUAGGGGAGUGUGGAAUUCCCGGUGUAGCGGUGAAAUGCGCAGAUAUCGGGAGGAACACCAGUAGCGAAGGCGACACUCUGGGCCGGUACUGACGCUGAGGAGCGAAAGCGUGGGGAGCAAACAGGAUUAGAUACCCUGGUAGUCCACGCUGUAAACGUUGGGCACUAGGUGUGGGACUCUAUCGACGGGUUCCGUGCCGUAGCUAACGCAUUAAGUGCCCCGCCUGGGGAGUACGGCCGCAAGGCUA